GACGAACGCUGGCGGCGUGCUUAACACAUGCAAGUCGAACGGAAAGGCCCUGCUUUUGUGGGGUGCUCGAGUGGCGAACGGGUGAGUAACACGUGAGUAACCUGCCCUUGACUUUGGGAUAACUUCAGGAAACUGGGGCUAAUACCGGAUAGGGGCUCCUGCUGCAUGGUGGGGGUUGGAAAGUUUCGGCGGUUGGGGAUGGACUCGCGGCUUAUCAGCUUGUUGGUGGGGUAGUGGCUUACCAAGGCUUUGACGGGUAGCCGGCCUGAGAGGGUGACCGGCGACAUGGGGACUGAGGUACGGCCCAGACGCCUACGGGAGGCAGCAGUGGGGAAUAUUGCACAAUGGGCGGAAGCCUGAUGCAGCAACGCCGCGUGCGGGAUGACGGCCUUCGGGUUGUAAACCGCUUUCGCCUGUGACGAAGAGUGAGUGACGGUAAUGGGUAAAGAAGCACCGGCUAACUACGUG
Molecule: ribosomal RNA, 468 nt
Filed under: uncultured bacterium
Lineage: Bacteria
Description: partial 16S ribosomal RNA
Rfam family: Bacterial small subunit ribosomal RNA
Source: RNAcentral